GGACUCCUUUUCCACACACAAGAUGGCUUCCCACGCCAUUGGUUCCGUGCGCAUGACUUUUUUCAUGCCACAAAGGAUUCCGUGCUGCAAAAGUUUUCCAUAUCCAUGCAGUUUCCACACACCACAAAAACUUUCGCACACUUCUCGAAGGCUUUUCAUGCUCGACCCUUUUUGGUUUUCAAUUAAAUUGAUGGAUCCCAUAUGAGGAGGGACCACACCAAUAAAUCUCC
Molecule: long non-coding RNA, 230 nt
Filed under: Elaeis guineensis (African oil palm)
Lineage: Eukaryota; Viridiplantae; Streptophyta; Magnoliopsida; Arecales; Arecaceae
Description: long non-coding RNA (EGUI_LNC039661)
Source: RNAcentral